Molecule: microRNA precursor, 87 nt
Filed under: Bigelowiella natans CCMP2755
Lineage: Eukaryota; Cercozoa; Chlorarachniophyceae
Description: miRNA EPrBNAG00000013211
Source: RNAcentral
AUGUGUGUGUGUGUGUAUGUGUGUGUGCGUGUAUACACAUUCCACAUGUUUAUGCACACACACACACACACACACACACACACACAU